Molecule: ribosomal RNA, 253 nt
Filed under: uncultured bacterium
Lineage: Bacteria
Description: partial 16S ribosomal RNA
Rfam family: Bacterial small subunit ribosomal RNA
Source: RNAcentral
UACGGGGGGGGCAAGCGUUGUUCGGAAUUACUGGGCGUAAAGGGCUCGUAGGUGGCCAACUAAGUCGGACGUGAAAUCCCUCAGCUUAACUGGGGAACUGCGUCCGAUACUGGAUGGCUUGAGUUUGGGAGAGGGAUGCGGAAUUCCAGGUGUAGCGGUGAAAUGCGUAGAUAUCUGGAGGAACACCGAUGGCGAAGGCAAUCCCCUGGGCCUGCACUGACGCUCAUGCACGAAAGCGUGGGGAGCAAACAGG